This is a non-coding RNA of Canis lupus familiaris (dog), 134 nucleotides long. Lineage: Eukaryota; Metazoa; Chordata; Mammalia; Carnivora; Canidae. The record is from Rfam.
UUGUUUUUUAAUAAUAACUGUCUUGCUCUUGCCCCUGGGGGCCCAGUGUGCAAUGACUGCAAACGGAAGCCUCUUUGGUAGUGUAUGCAGCCUGUUGACUGGAUGGGUUGCCCUAAGGGACCCUGGAGAAAACC